UACAGAGGUCUCGAGCGUUAGGCGGAAUCACUGGGCUUAAAGCGUGUGUAGGCGGAUCGUUAAGUACCUUGUGAAAUCCCACGGCUUAACCGUGGAACUGCUUGGUAUACUGGCGGUCUUGAGCCAGCUAGGGGCUACCGGAACAAAUGGUGGAGCGGUGAAAUGCGUAGAUAUCAUUUGGAACGCCAAUGGUGAAAACAGGUAGCUGGGCUGUGCUGACGCUGGAGACACGAAAGCCAGGGGAGCAAACGGG
Molecule: ribosomal RNA, 253 nt
Filed under: uncultured bacterium
Lineage: Bacteria
Description: partial 16S ribosomal RNA
Rfam family: Bacterial small subunit ribosomal RNA
Source: RNAcentral